CCCUUUCCUUUUUCUGUUAUUUGGCUGUGAUAGGAAAAGUAUUGAAAAAUAGAAAGUGCCCUAGACAGGAAAACACUCUGAGCACUGAAACCUGAAACCCAGUGGCCUGCGCCAACACCCCUGUUGGAGGUGGAUGGCUAGCCAGGAUUCAUUCUGGGCCCCAGUCCCAGGCUCUGCUUAGGGUGGGGCCUGAAGCCCCUUUAGUGGAGAUGAGGACUUGAGGAGGGCAGCGGGUGACUACUGGAGAUCACAUGGAUGAGGGAAGACACAUCACGGGAGGUCAGGUCUGCUCACUACCACAGGCUGACCUGCCGCCUCAGCCCCGGUGAAGUUCCAACACAGACCAGAGAAGUUGCUGUCCAUAGCUGGGGCUUCCAGAAGUGGCCCUGCCUUUGCCUGACAGCUGUGGCCUCUGUCCUCUAUGGCUUUCCUUAGAUGGAGCCUCUGUCAGAGCCAAGAUGGUGCCGGUUUCCUCCGACUGUGACUAGAAGAUGGUGAGACAGAAGGCAACUUUAGAAGGCAACAAACCUUCAUACUGUCUUUUCCCAGGGAGGAGCCAUGAACUUUUGGUGGCCCUUCUCCUCAAGCUGGAAGAACAUUCGGGCUGGUGAACAUUAACCCUUCUGCAGCCAUGCCACGGUGAAACAGACACAAAACAACGUGGAUGAACCUUAGCCCCUUCCAUGGUUUAAAUGAGAGCAGCUCAUCUAGGCACGUAUGUUUGAAUAUUUGGCCUCCAGUUGGAAGAACCAGAUGGGAAAGGUGCAUACUAUGUCAUUAAAGGCAACUAAGUAAAGGCAAACCAUGCACAGACUGAGGAGUGUGUCUGGGAGCUGAUGCUGAGUUGAAGGUAUACAUGGGUUGUCAUUACACUGUCUUUUAUAGAUAUGCCAUGCAUCCCUUAUCAACCUACCAAGGAACCCGAAAUCUCCCAGGAUCCUUGCUGAUAAAGCAUCCCAGUUUCUUCAGGCAAAGAAAAAUUCUAUUCACUGUUCUCUGGGUCCCAUCCCUUCUCAUGAUCUCAGGGGCUCUGUUUAUUUCCUGGUUCCGGUGUUCUUAUUCUCCAUCAGGCUCUCCUUCCCUCCUGGGCCAUUUUCACCAGAUAUGAACAGUCUAUUCCCUAUCAUCUUAAAGACAAAGUCUUAUUAGGGAGGAUCGAAACUAGCCUGACACAACAUAUGGACCCAUAAGUCAGUGUACCAGACAAGGAGAUAGACUCUGGCAAGCAAGGUAUAGGCAGGCAGCACAAGGUUCCACAUGGCUGCUCCUUCUUCAGUGUUGCUCUACCAUCCUUAACGCCCAGUUUGUUCCAAAAGGAUACUCCAGCCACUGCCAUCACUUCAGUCAUUGGCCAGAUGAAGAUGGAAAUGGAGAAAGAAGAAACGUCAAUUUCUCUAGACACUGCCUGAAGUUGUGUAUCCACCAUGUUCACUCACAGACUUGGUCUUAAGGCAUCUCUAGUGAAGGAAGUUGAGACAUACCACACAAUUAUCAAUAGGUCAAGUUAAAUAUGCCAUUGCUAACAAGGAAGAAGAGAAUGAAUAGCAAAGCUGGUGUGAUCUCUGCCUAAAUGAACGCACAUUCCCUUCCCUUACACAAAAUGUGCUAAUCCUUUCCUAAGUUCAAAACCCACAGGGUUUACCCAGUAAUUACUGCAACCAGCUCAAAGCUAGACCCUCCUGGUGAUUGUACGAUGUUUACAGAACCUCAGCUAUUGGUCCAGUGGCAUAUAAUCAAAAGGCAGGUUGUCUACGUGCCUGCCUCCUCCAGCCAACCACCCAUGUGCAAUAUACAAUGGAGUAUGAAACAGGAUAACCACAAUUAAAGGUUCUACUUGGAAAAGAAGAAUGGGAAAUACAUAACAAUUAGCGGAUCCCACUGGGCAAGAAUUGCGAGGGUUCCCGCCUCCUGCGGGGCUAAGUGCCUUAGGCCAGGCUACUGGGAAAUAUUCCUUUAUCCAUUCUUCUCUGUGGACCCUGCAUCUGCCUUCUGGGAGGUCUUUAUUAGUCUACUGUUCUCCAGGGCCACAUGGGAAGAAGCCACUGGAGAGGAUGUCGUCUACAGUGGUGAGAGUUCAGAUGUCACAGCCUUCUUCCUUCUAGUGCAGGUUAGCCAGCUCAAGGCUCGCCUCGGGAAUUGAGCAAUCAGAGAGUUGUGUAGUUCAGGCUUGCAGACUUUUUGUCAACUAAUUUCCCUCAAAAAAAAAAAAAAAAAACUUAGUUAUAACAAUACAAAAAUUAAAUUUAAAAAACAAAUUCCACUUAGAACCGUAUUGAAAAUAACAAAAUUGAAAUAAAUUUAACAAAAGAACUUGAAGAUUUGCACACUGAGUAAUUACAAACCAUUGUUAAAAGAAACGAAAGAAAAGCCUUAACAAAUGGAUGCCCUGUGUUCAUGCAUUGAAAGACUCAAUAUUGUUAAAUGGCACUAUGCUUGAAGAUGAUCUGCAAACUUGAGUGCAAAUCCUUUUAAAACUUAGAUGUCUUACCUCUCCCCAAAUCUGCAAACUGAUCCUAAAAUUCAUACCGAAUUAUGAGACCUGAAUGGCAACAAACAAUAAAUGGAACAAUCCUGAGAGACAACCAAGUAGAAAGAUUCACACUUUCCUAUUUUAAAAAUGUAUUACAAAGCUGUGGUGAUGUCCAUGUAGUGGGGGCAUCAACAUUGUCAUGUAGAGCAAUGUGAAAGCAUUGACGGUCCAAAGAGAUGAUUAGACACAUGGCUAACCGAUUUUCCAAAAAGGAGCCAAUAAAAUUCAGUGUGGGAAAGAACAGUUUUCAAUAAACAAUGCUGGGACAACAGUAUUCCUAUUCAAAGAUGUAACAGGACCUCUACACCACAUACAUAAAUCAACAAAGAGGCUGGACAGAUGGCUUGGUAGUUAAAAGCAUGUGUCACUCUUGUAGAAGACCUGGUUUCAACUCCCAGAACCUACAGGCAACCUUGGUAAAAGGUUGUGAGGUAAUUUCACAACCAUUCAUAGCUCUAAUUCCAGGGAAUCCAACCCCCACUUUUGUCUUCCUCAAGCCACCAGAAAUGAAUGUGGUGCAUAUAAUACAUGGACACAAAACACUCAUAUAUGUAAAAAUAAAAUAAACACAUCUAAAAGAAUUAACCAAAGUGGAGCAUAUCUCUGAGUGUCAAAGACAAAACAGUGACUGAGAAUCAAAUAUUCACCUCUUAGAUUUCACACCAAGGUAUAAUCUAACACCAGACAAAUAGGUUUCAUCAAAGCAAUACAAAUUUGUACUUGUACUACCAAAACAGUGAAAAGAUGACCCACAUGGUGGGAGAAAAUAUUUGCAAAUUUCUUAUGUGAGAAAAGUGUAUAUGGAUAUUAUAAAGAACUCACAAUUCAACAAUAAGAUAGCAAGACAUGAUGGCGCAUGCUUGUAAACUCAGCUGGGGAGUUUCUGCAGGAGAAUCAUUGUAUGAGAUCAAACUUACUACACACUAAGUUCCAAGCCAGCCUGGGUUAGAAAAUGAAAACAAAAAAACACAAAACAAAAAUACAAACAAACAAAGGAUGUUCCUUCAGAGAAAAAGACAAAUGACAACCCUGUCCCACCAGCAUCUGGGAGGCUGAAGCAGGAAGAUGACUCAAGACUGUCUUGAACCACUAAGUGGGUUGAAGGCCAGCCUGGGUGACUUAAUGAGACCCUGUUUCAAUAUAAAAAGGGCUGGGAAUACAGCUCAAUAGCUAGUAUUUAGCUAUCACAUCGAAGACCCUGGGUUCAAUUCUAGCCAGAGGCAGAAGAGGAGGACCACCCAGUCUUUUAAACAAAUGUAGAGGAUUUGAAAGACAUGAGAAGUCAGUACAUGGAAACACACUUGAUGUCACCACAAUAAAACACUCAACACCACUAGAAUAACAUUUUUAGGGGGCUGGAGAGAUGGCUCAGUGGUUAAGAGCACUGACUGUUCUUCCAGAGGUCCUGAGUUCAAUACCCAGCAACCACAUGGUGGCUCACAACCACCUUGAAUGAAUUUGGUGCCCUCUGCUUACAUGCAGCCAGAAAACAUAAUAUAUAAAUAAAAUCUUUAAAAAAAAAAA
Molecule: non-coding RNA, 4054 nt
Organism: Cricetulus griseus (Chinese hamster)
Lineage: Eukaryota; Metazoa; Chordata; Mammalia; Rodentia; Cricetidae
Source: RefSeq, a predicted model, not a curated record